AAGUAACGCGGCCGUGAUUCGAGCUCGGGACUCGCGGUGCUCUAGAUUAACUGCGAUGGCUCAUUAAAACAGUUAUAGUUUAUUUGAUAUAUUAAAUGGAUAACUGUAGAAAAACUAGAGCUAAUACAUGCCGAAGCCGCAAGGUUGUAUUUAUUAGAUAUUCCAAUUAGGUGAAUCAUGAUAACUUUGCAAAUCUCGGUUUUGCCGAGAUAAAUCAUCCAAGUUUCUGCCCUAUCAUGCUUUCGAUGGUAGUGUAUUGGACUACCAUGGCUUUCACGGGUAACAGGGAAUUAGGGUCGAUUUCUGGAGAAGGAGCCUGAGAAACGGCUACUACAUCUACGGAAGGCAGCAGGCGCGUAAAUUACCCAAUCCUGACUCAGGGAGGUGGUGACAAGAUAUAACAACGCAAUUUAAUUGUGAUUGUAGUGAGGGUUUUCCAAACCGAACCACUAGUACGAUUAGAGGGCAAGUCUGGUGCCAGCAGCCGCGGUAAUUCCAGCUCUAAUAGCGUAUAUUAAAGUUGCUGCAGUUAAAAGCUCGUAGUUGGAUUUCAGGAUUGUGUACUCUCUCAGAGUAUGCACCCUACUAGUCUUUGACUGUACUGGUGGAGAAAUAGAGUGUUUAAAGCAGGCUAUUGCAGAUAAUUAACAUGGGAAUAACGAAAGGAUCCUCAGACCUCGGUUUAUUCUAGGGUUCGAUAAAAAAAAAAGCGUUGUGGGGGGCUUGAUAUUAUUGUGCGGAGGGGAGGACUUCUGUGUUGUGUGUUGUAUAUACUACUUAGCGUGCAGACUCAUUGGCGCAGACGGAGUGUGGUCUUUUCUUUAUUUC
This 828-nucleotide ribosomal RNA is filed under the name uncultured rumen protozoa. Its description in RNAcentral is "bacterial SSU rRNA". It matches the Rfam family "Eukaryotic small subunit ribosomal RNA", at positions 61 to 926 of the family's 1831-position model. The record is from RNAcentral.